Molecule: ribosomal RNA, 1716 nt
Filed under: Salmonella enterica
Lineage: Bacteria; Pseudomonadati; Pseudomonadota; Gammaproteobacteria; Enterobacterales; Enterobacteriaceae
Description: partial 23S ribosomal RNA
Rfam family: Bacterial large subunit ribosomal RNA
Source: RNAcentral
UAAGCCGUUGAAGGUGUGUCGUGAGGCAUGCUGGAGGUAUCAGAAGUGCGAAUGCUGACAUAAGUAACGAUAAAGCGGGUGAAAAGCCCGCUCGCCGGAAGACCAAGGGUUCCUGUCCAACGUUAAUCGGGGCAGGGUGAGUCGACCCCUAAGGCGAGGCCGAAAGGCGUAGUCGAUGGGAAACGGGUUAAUAUUCCCGUACUUGGUGUUACUGCGAAGGGGGGACGGAGAAGGCUAUGUUGGCCGGGCGACGGUUGUCCCGGUUUAAGCGUGCAGGUGUGUGUUCCAGGUAAAUCCGGUUCACUUUAACACUGAGGCGUGACGACGAGGCACCACGGUGCUGAAGCAACAAAUGCCCUGCUUCCAGGAAAAGCCUCUAAGCCUCAGGUAACAUCAAAUCGUACCCCAAACCGACACAGGUGGUCAGGUAGAGAAUACCAAGGCGCUUGAGAGAACUCGGGUGAAGGAACUAGGCAAAAUGGUGCCGUAACUUCGGGAGAAGGCACGCUGACACGUAGGUGAAGUGGUUUACCCAUGGAGCUGAAGUCAGUCGAAGAUACCAGCUGGCUGCAACUGUUUAUUAAAAACACAGCACUGUGCAAACACGAAAGUGGACGUAUACGGUGUGACGCCUGCCCGGUGCCGGAAGGUUAAUUGAUGGGGUCAGCGCAAGCGAAGCUCCUGAUCGAAGCCCCGGUAAACGGCGGCCGUAACUAUAACGGUCCUAAGGUAGCGAAAUUCCUUGUCGGGUAAGUUCCGACCUGCACGAAUGGCGUAAUGAUGGCCAGGCUGUCUCCACCCGGGACUCAGUGAAAUUGAACUCGCUGUGAAGAUGCAGUGUACCCGCGGCAAGACGGAAAGACCCCGUGAACCUUUACUAUAGCUUGACACUGAACACUGGUCCUUGAUGUGCAGGAUAGGUGGGAGGCUUUGAAGUGUGGACGCCAGUCUGCAUGGAGCCAUCCUUGAAAUACCACCCUUUAAUGGCUGGUGUUCUAACGUGGGCCCCUGACCGGGGUUGCGGACAGUGUCUGGUGGGUAGUUUGACUGGGGCGGUCUCCUCCUAAAGAGUAACGGAGGAGCACGAAGGUUGGCUAAUCCUGGUCGGACAUCAGGAGGUUAGUGCAAUGGCAUAAGCCAGCUUGACUGCGAGCGUGACGGCGCGAGCAGGUGCGAAAGCAGGUCAUAGUGAUCCGGUGGUUCUGAAUGGAAGGGCCAUCGCUCAACGGAUAAAAGGUACUCCGGGGAUAACAGGCUGAUACCGCCCAAGAGUUCAUAUCGACGGCGGUGUUUGGCACCUCGAUGUCGGCUCAUCACAUCCUGGGGCUGAAGUAGGUCCCAAGGGUAUGGCUGUUCGCCAUUUAAAGUGGUACGCGAGCUGGGUUUAGAACGUCGUGAGACAGUUCGGUCCCUAUCUGCCGUGGGCGCUGGAAGAUUGAGGGGGGCUGCUCCUAGUACGAGAGGACCGGAGUGGACGCAUCACUGGUGUUCGGGUUGUCAUGCCAAUGGCACUGCCCGGUAGCUACAUGCGGAAGAGAUAAGUGCUGAAAGCAUCUAAGCACGAAACUUGCCCCGAGAUGAAUCUUCCCUGAGCCUUUAAGGCUCCUGAAGGAACGUUGAAGACGACGACGUUGAUAGGCCGGGUGUGUAAGCGCAGCGAUGCGUUGAGCUAACCGGUACUAAUGAACCGUGAGGCUUAACCUUACAACGCCGAAG